This 1325-nucleotide ribosomal RNA is filed under the name metagenome. RNAcentral describes it as "bacterial LSU rRNA". It matches the Rfam family "Bacterial large subunit ribosomal RNA", at positions 1561 to 2925 of the family's 2925-position model. The record is from RNAcentral.
AGUGGAUGGGGAGCAACCUAGUUGUGCGUGUGUAAAGGUAGUGCCAAGAAAAGCGAUGAUCAUGUUGAAAAUCAAUUCCCGGUACCCGAAACCGACACAGGUGGGCAAGUAGAGAAUACUAAGGGGCGCGAGGUAACUCUCUCCAAGGAACUCGGCAAAAUGACCCCGUAACUUAGGGAGAAGGGGUGCCACCGAGAGGUGGUCGCAGUGAAGAGGCCCAGGCGACUGUUUAGCAAAAACAUAGGUCUCUGCAAACUCGAAAGAGGAGGUAUAGGGGCUGACGCCUGCCCAGUGCCGGAAGGUUAAAGAAGUUGGUCAGUCUUAGGAUGAAGCUAGCGACUGAAGCCCCGGUGAACGGCGGCCGUAACUAUAACGGUCCUAAGGUAGCGAAAUUCCUUGUCGGGUAAGUUCCGACCCGCACGAAAGGCGUAACGAUCUGGGCGCUGUCUCGGAGAGAGGCUCGGCGAAAUAGGAUUGUCUGUGAAGAUACGGACUACCUGCAUUUGGACAGAAAGACCCUAUGAAGCUUUACUAUAGCUUGGAAUUGUGUUCGGGCUUCCUGUGCGCAGGAUAGGUGGGAGGCGUAGAAGGUAUUCUUGUGGGGAUACUGGAGCCAACGGUGAGAUACCACUCUCAGGAGGCUAGAAUUCUAACUUAAUUAAGGACAGUUUCAGGUGGGUAGUUUGACUGGGGCGGUCGCCUCCAAAAAGGUAACGGAGGCGUACAAAGGUUCCCUCAGACUGGUUGGAAAUCAGUCGAAGAGUGCAAAGGCAGAAGGGAGCUUGACUGCGAGAAGUACAGUUCGAGCAGGGUGGAAACACGGUCUUAGUGAUCCGACGGUGCUGUGUGGAAGGGCCGUCGCUCAACGGAUAAAAGUUACUCUAGGAUAACAGGCUGAUCUCCCCCAAGAGUCCACAUCGACGGGGAGGUUUGGCACCUCGAUGUCGGCUCAUCGCAACCUGGGGCGGAAGUACGUCCCAAGGGUUGGGCUGUUCGCCCAUUAAAGCGGUACGUGAGCUGGGUUCAGAACGUCGUGAGACAGUUCGGUCCAUAUCCGAUGUAGGCGUGAGAAUAUUGAGAGGAGCCUUCCUUAGUACGAGAGGACCGGGAAGGACGCACCGCUGGUGUACCUGUUAUGAUGCCAAUUGUAAACGCAGGGUAGCCAAGUGCGGAGAGGAUAACCGCUGAAAGCAUCUAAGUGGGAAGCCCACCUCAAGAUGAGUAUUCUGGUGUAAGGUCACGGGAAGGCGACCCGUAAAUAGGCACGAGGUGGAAGUGCAGAGAUGUAUGAAGCCGAAGUGUACUAAUAGACCGUCGGCUUGACC